GUAGGUGGCAAGCGUUGUCCGGAAUUAUUGGGGCGUAAAGCGCGCGCAGGCGGUUCUUUAAGUCUGAUGUGAAAGCCCACGGGCUCAACCGUGGAGGGUCAUUGGAAACUGGAGAACUUGAGUACAGAAGAGGAAAGCGGAAUUCCACGUGUAGCGGUGAAAUGCGUAGAGAUGUGGAGGAACACCAGCGGCGAAGGCGGCUUUCUGGUCUGUAACUGACGCUGAGGCGCGAAAGCGUGGGGAGCAAACAGGAUUAGAUACCCUGGUAGUCCACGCCGUAAACGAUGAGUGCUAAGUGUUAGGGGGUUUCCGCCCCUUAGUGCUGCAGCUAACGCAUUAAGCACUCCGCCUGGGGAGUACGGCCGCAAAGGCUG
Molecule: ribosomal RNA, 374 nt
Filed under: uncultured organism
Description: partial 16S ribosomal RNA
Rfam family: Bacterial small subunit ribosomal RNA
Source: RNAcentral